UCCUCCAUAGCUCAGUAGGUAGAGCGCAUGACUGUUAAUCAUGAUGUCACUGGUUCGAGCCCAGUUGGGGGAGCCA
This 76-nucleotide transfer RNA is filed under the name Ruminococcus sp. AF43-11. RNAcentral describes it as "tRNA-Asn". It matches the Rfam family "tRNA". From Rfam's summary of the family: Transfer RNA (tRNA) molecules are approximately 80 nucleotides in length. Lineage: Bacteria; Bacillati; Bacillota; Clostridia; Eubacteriales; Oscillospiraceae. RNAcentral also lists the same sequence under 1 other name. The record is from RNAcentral.